Molecule: ribosomal RNA, 2136 nt
Filed under: Drunella doddsii
Lineage: Eukaryota; Metazoa; Arthropoda; Insecta; Ephemeroptera; Ephemerellidae
Description: eukaryotic LSU rRNA
Rfam family: Eukaryotic large subunit ribosomal RNA (bases 486-1563)
Source: RNAcentral
GAGGACAUGGAGGCGUUACGGAAACUACUCCCCGUGCGAGGAUAGCUGGUUCCUUCCGAUCCGCCGCGCCCACCGUCCGGUGAAAGGGCCGAAGCGGGUCAAACCGCUGAGGUCGCCGGUCGGCGGGUUUUUAGCGCGCGGGCGACGGAAGCGCACUUCUCCCCUAGUAGGACGCCGCGACCCGUUGGAUUUUGAAAGAGCGGGCCUACGGCCUGGGGGCGUGCCCGGGGUUGCUCUUCGGAGCUCCCGCGGAUCCCCGGUGUCCUGGUCCGCUUCCGACGGUCGUCAUUCAUGGAACUCUCCCGCGCACUUUUGUGUGCGCCCGUGCCUCGCGCGAGCGUCAGCCCGCUAGUCGCGCGCGGACUUCGGUCCGCCGCGAUCGGGUGAGCGUUGUCGGCGUGGGGAUUUCUCGGGCUGAUGGAGCUAACUUUCCUGUCUGCGGCGCUUAAAACAGGGCGGCCCACCCGACCCGUCUUGAAACACGGACCAAGGAGUCUAACAUGUACGCGAGUCAUUGGGCACCACGAAACCCAAGGGCGCAUUGAACGAAAAGGCGGGCUUAACCACCCGCCGAGGGGAGAUGGGGUGGCGCUCGCGUUGCCCCCGCACCCCCGGGGCGUCUCACCCUACCCUUGCUUGUCUUGGGAAGGAGAGGCGCACCAAGAGCGUACACGUUGGGACCCGAAAGAUGGUGAACUAUGCCUGGCCAGGACGAAGUCAGGGGAAACCCUGAUGGAGGUCCGUAGCGAUUCUGACGUGCAAAUCGAUCGUCGGAGCUGGGUAUAGGGGCGAAAGACUAAUCGAACCAUCUAGUAGCUGGUUCCCUCCGAAGUUUCCCUCAGGAUAGCUGGCGUUCGUAUAUACGAGUCCCAUCCGGUAAAGCGAAUGAUUAGAGGCCUUGGGGUCGAAACGAUCUCAACCUAUUCUCAAACUUUAAAUGGGUGGGAACCGCGGCUUGCUUGAUUGCCUGAUUGAAGCCGCGGCCUCGGAUCGGAGUGCCCAGUGGGCCACUUUUGGUAAGCAGAACUGGCGCUGUGGGAUGAACCAAACGCCGGGUAAAGGCGCCCGAAUAAACGCUCAUUCCAAACCAUGAAAGGUGUUGGUUGCUUAAGACAGCAGGACGGUGGCCAUGGAAGUCGGAAUCCGCUAAGGAGUGUGUAACAACUCACCUGCCGAAGCAACUAGCCCUGAAAAUGGAUGGCGCUGAAGCGUUUUGCCUAUACCCGGCCGCCGGCGGCAAAGGGCGCGCCCCCUCGGGGGCGUGUCGCCAAGCCCCGGUGAGUAGGAGGGUCGCGACGGUGUGCGCAGAAGGGUCUGGGCGUGAGCCUGCCUGGAGCCGCCGUCGGUGCAGAUCUUGGUGGUAGUAGCAAAUACUCCAGCGAGGCCCUGGAGGACUGAUGUGGAGAAGGGUUCCGUGUGAACAGCCGUUGCACACGGGUCAGUCGAUCCUAAGCCCUAGGAGAAAUCCGAUGUUGAUGGUCGCGGGAUGUUUCGAUCGCUCGCGGGGCGCCGUUGAAUACACGCUCGAAAACCCAGUGCUCUAAAAGUCUUUUUCUCACCGUCGCCCCUGCGGCGGCGGCGCUUGGCCGGCCUUCCGAGGACCCGGCCUGGGCAGUACGCGCAGCGCAGACGGGACGCGCGCGCCCGCGGUUAACCGAGCAUGGACUCGCAAUACCCGCCGGACAUACAAAACCCCCAUUCCGUGGGAAACGAAGCCAGCGAAAGCAAGCUUUCUCUCUGGACCCCCCCGCAUGGCGAAGCCUCGUUCGUAGGAGAAACAGGAAACCUCUCGCGCCCUAAUAAGCCCUCGUCGGCUUGGCUUGAGGUGGAGUGUUCUCCUCGACGGGUGUGGAGUGCGGGUGUGGCGAAGGAUCGAGGUCGCGCGCCAAGUAGCGAGGUUCGUUUUUCUCUCGGAGGACGGUGGGGGCGACUGAGGUCCUGGCGGUGAGGCGUGUUGGAGCUCAGUGCCGCGCGGCGCGCAGUCGUCCUUUUGCUGUCGCUUAGGCGUGCGUUAACGACCCGGGCCGCGUCCGCUUGAGGAUUGUUUUGCUGGUCGUUGCGGAAGCGCCGCCGCCGUUUGCUUUGGGCAUUCGAAAGGGCGGUGAGAGUUGCCGAAAGGACUUUGGAGCGACGGGA